Molecule: long non-coding RNA, 497 nt
Filed under: Arabidopsis thaliana (thale cress)
Lineage: Eukaryota; Viridiplantae; Streptophyta; Magnoliopsida; Brassicales; Brassicaceae
Description: ncRNA (AT3G07655)
Source: RNAcentral
CACAUGUUUGAAGGUCGUCAUAAUCGAGAUGAGUUGAACCAUGGGUAUGAGGAUUGCCAUGACCUGAGAUACACUGGGAUAUUUAAGUAUGAGACACACGACAACUCAGGAUGCAUGCUUUAGUUUGGUUGCCGGAAAAAAUCUAAAAAUUAUUCCUCUAAAUCAGGUUAUAAACUGAUCAAGAAGCAUCUUGUGCACUCUCAACAGGCACCAAUGUGUGGCAAGUAAAAACCUCCCCAAAGCUCAAACACUUCCUGUAAAAGAUUGCAAAUGGAUGGAGCCCUCCCAGUGGGGUAUGAAGAUAAUCUCUAUCAAUGCCAAAUUGUUAGAGAACAUUAUGGAUAGAGAUUAUUUUGGUUGGGUUGGUAUGGAGGGCUCAAGUGUCUUGAUGACUUUAUGUACUUUUCUUGCUUUUGAUAGCUACUCAGACAGAUUAAACCGAGACACACGAACUAAAAAUAUCCCUAUUGAAUGAAGUGUCCUACUGUCCUUGGACU